RNAcentral lists this transfer RNA (74 nucleotides) under Caminibacter mediatlanticus TB-2. RNAcentral describes it as "tRNA-Gly". It matches the Rfam family "tRNA". Rfam says of the family: Transfer RNA (tRNA) molecules are approximately 80 nucleotides in length. Their secondary structure includes four short double-helical elements and three loops (D, anti-codon, and T loops). Further hydrogen bonds mediate the characteristic L-shaped molecular structure. tRNAs have two regions of fundamental functional importance: the anti-codon, which is responsible for specific mRNA codon recognition, and the 3' end, to which the tRNAs corresponding amino acid is attached (by aminoacyl-tRNA synthetases). tRNAs cope with the degeneracy of the genetic code in two manners: having more than one tRNA (with a specific anti-codon) for a particular amino acid; and 'wobble' base-pairing, i.e. permitting non-standard base-pairing at the 3rd anti-codon position. Lineage: Bacteria; Pseudomonadati; Campylobacterota; Epsilonproteobacteria; Nautiliales; Nautiliaceae. RNAcentral also lists the same sequence under 2 other names. The record is from RNAcentral.
GCGGGCUUAGCUCAGUUGGCUAGAGCGCCACCUUGCCAAGGUGGAGGUCGCGGGUUCGAGUCCCGUAGCCCGCU